RNAcentral lists this ribosomal RNA (280 nucleotides) under Apanteles sp. Rodriguez07. RNAcentral's name for it is "partial 28S ribosomal RNA". It matches the Rfam family "Eukaryotic large subunit ribosomal RNA", at positions 348 to 611 of the family's 3401-position model. The record is from RNAcentral. Lineage: Eukaryota; Metazoa; Arthropoda; Insecta; Hymenoptera; Braconidae.
GUACCGUGAGGGANNGUNNAAAAGAACUUUGAAGAGAGAGUUCAAGAGUACGUGAAACCGUUCAGGGGUAAACCUGUGAAACCCAAAAGAUCGAAUGAGGAGAUUCAUCGUCAGCGUACUCAGUAUUAAUGCAGGCUAUGAUGUGAUAAUAGAAUCCUCGUGGUCACUAGAUUAUACUUGCUUGUAUUAUUUUUGCUGGGUAUGUCGGCGUGCACUUCUCCUCUAGUAGAACGUCGCGACCCGUUGGAUGUUUAUUUAUGGCCUGAUUGGNNNNCCUUUG